This is a non-coding RNA of Erythranthe guttata (spotted monkey flower), 2471 nucleotides long. NCBI's taxonomy places the organism in Eukaryota, Viridiplantae, Streptophyta, Magnoliopsida, Lamiales, Phrymaceae. The record is from RefSeq and is a predicted model, not a curated record.
AUUUUUUUCCUAUUAGGUCAACAUACGGCACGUGCCAGUAGAGAAAAUAUCCGCGCCUCCAAUCAAAACGCUCCUCCCCACAAAUUUAUAUUUUUCGAAACACCGAGGCGCCAAUUUUGGUCACUUCUCCCGCCCCAUUCCCCCACCGCCCUUUAUUUCCUCCCACCAUUUCCACCAUUUUACCAAACCCUCUUCUACCUUUCCUUCUUUACUCCCCCUAACUUAGUGUGAGCGAGUUUCACCUACGCGCCGCUAGAUGCAGGGCCACCUACCCCACCCCGCCACCCCCAUUUCCGACGCCGCUUUCCUCAUCAAACGAGGCAAGAAGCGUGGGAGCUACAACUGCGGCCGCUGCGGCGUGCCGAAGAAGGGCCACAAGUGCCCUCUAACCCCCGAAAACGACGAUGGAUCUACUCCCGUUUCUACGCCUUCAUCCGCCGCAGUCACCUCAUCUAUCGCCGCCACGCUCAGCUCCGCUUCGGCGGCGUCGGCGUCGGUGAAGAUGGUGACCACUCCGGUGGUUCGUCCUACGCCGCCGCCGAGUCGACGGCGAGCUCUUUCGUUCGAUGACGUCGGCGUGGCUGAUUCGAUCGAUGAGUUGGAUGAUGAGGAGCCGUUUGAGUUUGAGGAGGACCCCGAUCUGUAUAGGUCGGGGAAGCUUCCGGCGAGUUGUUUAUGGGAGGUUUUGAAGAGAUUGCCGCCGGUGGGGCUGCUGUCGGCGGCGAAGGUGUGUAGGGGGUGGAGGGAGACGACGAGGAAGCUCUGGCGUGCGUCCGAGGAGCUCCGGCUCAGGGUUCCGGCGAAGGCCCAGAUCGGAUUCGUCGGAUCCGUGUUGCAGAAAUGCCCUGGACUUUUAACCCUAUCUCUUAGAAUUGAAAGUGAUGUCGAUGCAACAAUGCUGGCCUGCAUUGCCUUCUCUUGCCCUAAUUUGCAGUCCUUGGAGAUCUUUACAUCCGAUUCUUGCAUCAACCGGAUCACAGGGGAUGAGUUGAGUCGUUUUAUUGCCGAGAAAAGGUGCCUAACCAGUCUCAAGAUGGAAGGGUGCUGUAAUCUCGGGGGUUUUAUAUUCUCUUCGACUAGUCUCUCUACUCUUUGGCUCUCAGAUCUCCACUCCCUCUCUAAAACGGUUUUCAACUGCCCUAAUUUAAAGGAGGUUUCGUUGGACUUUUCUCGCCAAGAAAAUGACAGCACCGAUCUUACCACUGUUGUGGAAUCUCUCGGAAGAAGCUGCCCUAAGCUUCAGAAUAUCCACAUUGCUUCGGUUUUGCUCUCACACGAUGCUGUGCUGGCACUCUCGGCCGCUAAUUUAAGGGCAUUGCGUAUGCUUUCACUUGUUCUGGGAUUGGAGAUAACCGAUGCAUCUGUGGCAGCUAUUGCUUCGAGUUUUCCAAAGCUUGAAUUGCUUGAUCUUAGUGGGUCUAGCAUCAGUGACAGUGGCAUUGGAAUGAUAUGCAAUGUCUUCCCCGAGACAUUAUCGAAACUUCUACUUGCUCUUUGCCCUAACAUUACAUCGAGUGGCAUUCAAUUUGCUGCUGCUCAGCUUCCACGCCUGGAACUUAUGGACUGUGGAAUGACAAUUUGUGAUGCCGAUUCUGAAAAAUUCGAGGACAACGACUCUGAAUUACAGAGAACACCAAAUAGCAAGAUGCACCUUAUUUACCAAAAGUUAAUUAUCAAGCAUAGCCGCUUGAAGAAGCUAAGCUUAUGGGGUUGCUCUGGCUUGGAUGCAUUAUAUUUGAACUGUCCUCAUCUUCAUGACUUGAACCUCAACUCUUGCAGAAAUUCUGCAUCGCAGGUACUUUUCUUACAUUCAUUAGAAGCACGCUCGUUUGUAAAAUAUCAUAUAUUCUAACAUUUCGACUGCAUUUGACAAUCAGAGAGACUGGUACUUCAGUGCCCUAACCUAGAAAGUGUGCACGCAUCAGAUUGCGAUGACAUCCUUGUCAAAACCAUCGAGACUCAGGUGUACAAUGAUUAUUCUGCCAUAGAAAAUCAGUUCAAUUCCAAACGUUUCCCCGACGGCUCCAAAAGAGUGCGCGUUCCAUACUUCUGCAGCCCUCAGCCAUCGGAUGACGAGAAGAAAUGGAGAAGGCCUAUGAAACGACAAUGUGCAGUGAUCAUGGACUCGUGAAAACACGGGCGUUUCACUCGAGCAUAUCGAAGGCUUGGAGUAUGUAUUUGUUUAGAGGCAUAUUGCCCCUGUAACUGUUCCCUGUUAUAAUUCUAGUUUGUAGAAAAAAUAUUUCUUUGAUUGUGACAUUAAUUAAUUAGGAGGAUGACUACAUUUUUUAACUCCAUUUUAAAUAAAUAAAAAUGAACUGUCCUCUUCCCAUGUAACCUCGAUUAUUGAUUUCGUGUCGAGUGACUUGGAUUCGUCGUUUGGAGAUUUAAUAUAUUGUAAACCAUUGUAAUAUGGGUGAACUUGUAAACUUAUUUGAAGUUUUAUUUGAGUUGGAUAUGAAUUAUAAAGU